GAUGAACGCUGGCGGCGUGCCUAAUACAUGCAAGUCGAGCGAACAGAUGAGGAGCUUGCUCCUCUGACGUUAGCGGCGGACGGGUGAGUAACACGUGGAUAACCUACCUAUAAGACUGGGAUAACUUCGGGAAACCGGAGCUAAUACCGGAUAAUAUAUUGAACCGCAUGGUUCAAUAGUGAAAGACGGUUUUGCUGUCACUUAUAGAUGGAUCCGCGCCGCAUUAGCUAGUUGGUAAGGUAACGGCUUACCAAGGCAACGAUGCGUAGCCGACCUGAGAGGGUGAUCGGCCACACUGGAACUGAGACACGCUCCAGACUCCUACGGGAGGCAGCAGUACGCAAGCUUCCACAAUGGGCCAAAGCCUGACGGCGCAACGCCCCGUCGGUGAUGAAUGUCUUCGGAUCGUAAAACUCUGUUAUUAGGGAAGACCAAAUGUGUAAGUAACUAUGCACGUCUUGACGGUACCUAAUCAGAAAGCCCCGGCUAACUCCGUG
RNAcentral lists this ribosomal RNA (497 nucleotides) under uncultured bacterium. RNAcentral describes it as "partial 16S ribosomal RNA". It matches the Rfam family "Bacterial small subunit ribosomal RNA", at positions 28 to 507 of the family's 1533-position model. The record is from RNAcentral.